CGGAAGGCCAGCCCCAGGGGGUAUGCUGUCGCGCAGCGAAGCACCCAGGCUGAUUUGCCUUGGGCCGGCAGGUNUAGGUCGCAUGCAUCCGGAAGGCCAGCCCCAGCGGGUAUGCUGUCGCGCAGCGAAGCACCCAGGCUGAUUUGCCUUGGGCCGGCAGGUUUAGGUCGCAUGCAUCCGGAAGGCCAGCCCCAGGGGGUAUGCUCUCGCGCGGCGAAGCACCCAGGCUGAUUUGCCUUGGGCCGGCAGGUUUAGUCGCAUGCAUCCGGAAGGCCAGCCCCAGGGGGUAUGCUGUCGCGCAACGAAGCACCCAGGCUGAUUUGCCUUGGGCCGGCAGGUUUAGGUCGCAUGCAUCCGGAAGGCCAGCCCCAGGGGGUAUGCUGUCGCGCGGCGAAGCACCCAGGCUGAUUUGCCUUGGGCCGGCAGGUUUAGGUCGCAUGCAUCCGGAAGGCCAGCCCCAGCGGGUAUGCUGUCGCGCAGCGAAGCACCCAGGCUGAUUUGCCUUGGGCCGGCAGGUUUAGUCGCAUGCAUCCGGAAGGCCAGCCCCAGCGGGUAUGCUGUCGCGCAGCGAAGCACCCAGGCUGAUUUGCCUUGGGCCGGCAG
This 603-nucleotide long non-coding RNA is filed under the name Volvox carteri. RNAcentral's name for it is "long non-coding RNA (VCAR_LNC002151)". The record is from RNAcentral. Lineage: Eukaryota; Viridiplantae; Chlorophyta; Chlorophyceae; Chlamydomonadales; Volvocaceae.